Long non-coding RNA from Cyprinus carpio carpio, 801 nucleotides. The record is from Ensembl. Lineage: Eukaryota; Metazoa; Chordata; Actinopteri; Cypriniformes; Cyprinidae.
UAGUGCGUCAUAAGAGGAAGCAUCACCUCACGGCGAGUGCACAGCCGUCGCGCGGCAAACGGAACACAGCACUGCCAUCUAUCUCAUGCUGCUGCUCUAAACAAAUCCCUGUCUCUAAUCCUCAAAUGCAACCAUUUACAUUCCCUUUCAAGGUCCGACAACAAAGGAAUGCUACACUAAGGCGGCUCGAGGGAGUUCAACGCGGGAUUCACAAAGCGAUUUCUGUUGAAAGAUGGAUCAGUAUCCUGUUUAUUUGGACCAGCUGCUCCACUGAAUCACAACCCAAUGUCACAUCUGUCUCCAUGGCUGCGGAAAGCUCAUCUCUCCUAUGCUGAUCCGAGACCAGCCUCUCUAGAUGAACCCAAACAAGAGCCAUUGUGAAGGAGAAUUAAUGUCAUACAGAUUUGGAAUGACAUUAGACAAAGACAAACUCAUUUCCAUAUAAAUGGAGUGUAGGCCUGCAGCCCAGGGACCAGGCAGAAUUGCAAAUAUUUCAUUUCUUGCCUGGAGAGCCCGCUGCUGUUUCUUAGUCGCCAUCAGCCAUUGCUUCAUUCCCACCUUCUCUCUCUCUCAUCAAGCUGCUUCAUUCUCGUGCUGUUAUGCACACCUGACCACAUCCCCCAAGCACCUGCGGGGGUCAAAGAGGCCACUCUGGCUGUGAUCACCCAUCAGUUGUUGUAGCCAGGUUUGAAUGCAGAGAAUGCCAGGAGAGCUUUGGCUAAACCAGGGGGGUGAGCAGACUCUCUCUCUCUCUCGCUCUGUAUCCUUCACCAUCCACCCACAAUGCCUUUCUGUUUUUAU